Molecule: transfer RNA, 71 nt
Filed under: Marmota monax (woodchuck)
Lineage: Eukaryota; Metazoa; Chordata; Mammalia; Rodentia; Sciuridae
Description: tRNA.Ala
Rfam family: tRNA
About the family: Transfer RNA (tRNA) molecules are approximately 80 nucleotides in length. Their secondary structure includes four short double-helical elements and three loops (D, anti-codon, and T loops).
Source: RNAcentral
GGGGUUGUGGCUCAGUGGUAGAGUGCUUGCCUAGCAUGCAUGAGGCACUGGGUUCAAUCCUCAGCACCACA